Molecule: ribosomal RNA, 253 nt
Filed under: uncultured bacterium
Lineage: Bacteria
Description: partial 16S ribosomal RNA
Rfam family: Bacterial small subunit ribosomal RNA
Source: RNAcentral
UACAGAGGGUGCGAGCGUUAAUCGGAAUUACUGGGCGUAAAGCGUGCGUAGACGGUUAUCUAAGUCGGAUGUGAAAGCCCCGGGCUCAACCUGGGAAUUGCAUUCGAGACUGAAUAGCUAGGGUACGGUAGAGGGAAGUGGAAUUUCCGGUGUAGCGGUGAAAUGCGCAGAUAUCAGGAGGAACACCGGUGGCGAAGGCGGAUCUCUGGGCCGUACCUGACGCUCAGGCGCGAAAGCUAGGGGAGCGAACUGG